GAUGAACGAGGGAGGGGGGAGGAACACAUGCAAGUCGAACGGAAAGGCUCCUGCUUUCCGCGGUACUCGAUUGCCGAACGGGUGAGUAACACGUGUGUGAUCUGCCCUGCACUUCCGGAUAAGCCUGGGAAACUGGGUCUAAUAUCGGAUAGGACGAUGUUUUGGAUGCCAUUGUGGAAAGUUUUGCGGUUUGGGUUGGGCUCGCGGCCUAUCAGCUUGUUGGUGGGGUAAUGGCUUACCAAGGCGUCGACGGCUAGCCGGCACGAGAGGGUGUACGGGCACAAUACGCCUGAGAUACGGACCAGACGCGAACGGGAGGCAGCGGGGGGGAGCCUGACGCAGUGGGCGCAAGCGUGAUACAGAGACCCCGGGUGGGGGAAGACGGGCUUCGGGUUAUAAACAACUGUCGAUAGGGACGAAGCGGUAGUGACGGUACCUGGAGAAGAAGCCCCGGCUAACUACGUG
RNAcentral lists this ribosomal RNA (465 nucleotides) under uncultured bacterium. RNAcentral describes it as "partial 16S ribosomal RNA". It matches the Rfam family "Bacterial small subunit ribosomal RNA", at positions 28 to 507 of the family's 1533-position model. The record is from RNAcentral.